This 97-nucleotide ribosomal RNA is filed under the name uncultured archaeon. RNAcentral's name for it is "partial 16S ribosomal RNA". The record is from RNAcentral.
CUCCCCCGUUGCUGACCUCAGGUUCGAUAGCGCCAAUUAGGCGCCACCUCGCCAAAAGCCAACUUCGGUGAAGCGACGGGCGGUGUGUGCAAGGGAG